GAUGAACGCUGGCGGCGUGCCUAAUACAUGCAAGUCGAGCGAACGGACGAGAAGCUUGCUUUUCUGAUGUUAGCGGCGGACGGGUGAGUAACACGUGGAUAACCUACCUAUAAGACUGGGAUAACUUCGGGAAACCGGAGCUAAUACCGGAUAAUAUUUUGAACCGCAUGGUUCAAAAGUGAAAGACGGUCUUGCUGUCACUUAUAGAUGGAUCCGCGCUGCAUUAGCUAGUUGGUAAGGUAACGGCUUACCAAGGCAACGAUGCAUAGCCGACCUGAGAGGGUGAUCGGCCACACUGGAACUGAGACACAGUCCAGACUCCUACGGGAGGCAGCAGUAGGGAAUCUUCCGCAAUGGGCGAUAGCCUGACGGAGCAACGCCGCGUGAGUGAUGAAGGUCUUCGGAUCGUAAAACUCUGUUAUUAGGGAAGAACAUAUGUGUAAGUAACUGUGCACAUCUUGACGGUACCUAAUCAGAAAGCCACGGCUAACUACGUG
Molecule: ribosomal RNA, 497 nt
Filed under: uncultured bacterium
Lineage: Bacteria
Description: partial 16S ribosomal RNA
Rfam family: Bacterial small subunit ribosomal RNA
Source: RNAcentral